RNAcentral lists this ribosomal RNA (807 nucleotides) under uncultured archaeon. Its description in RNAcentral is "bacterial SSU rRNA". It matches the Rfam family "Archaeal small subunit ribosomal RNA", at positions 85 to 879 of the family's 1478-position model. The record is from RNAcentral.
ACGGCUCAGUAACACGUGGUUAACUGCCUUGGGACGGAAACACCCCCGGGAAACUGGGGCUAAUUUCCGAUAGGUGAAGGCUCCUGGAAUGGAUCUUCGCUAAAGGGUGCUUAGACCAUGCUUCUAGGCGCCGCCCAAGGAUGGGACCGCGACCGAUCAGGUUGUUGGUGAGGUAACGGCUCACCAAGCCUUUUACCGGUACGGGCCGUGGGAGCGGGAGCCCGGAGAUGGGCACUGAGACAAGGGCCCAGGUCCUACGGGGCGCAGCAGUUACGAAAUUUCGCAAUACGCGAAGGCGUGACGGAGCCAUCCCGAGUGCCGUCCGCUGAGGAUAGCUUUUCCCCAGUAUAGAUAGCUGGGGGAAUAAGGAGAGGGCAAGUCUGGUGUCAGCCGCCGCGGUAAUACCAGCUCUCCGAGUGGUAGGGAUGUUUAUUGGGCCUAAAGCAUCCGUAGCCAGCUGAGCAAGUCCCCAGUUAAAUCCAGCGAUUUAAUCGUUGGACUGCUGAGGAUACUGUCCGGCUAGGGGGUGGGAGAGGCCGACGGUAUUCCCGGGGUAGGGGUGAAAUCCUAUAAUCCCGGGAGGACCACCAGUGGCGAAGGCUGUCGGCUAGAACAUGCCCGACGGUGAGGGAUGAAAGCUGGGGGAGCGAACCGGAUUAGAUACCCGGGUAGUCCCAGCUGUAAACGAUGCAGGCUAGGUGUUAGGGCGGCCACGUGCCGCUCUAGUGCCGCAGGGAAGCUGUUAAGCCUGCCGCCUGGGGAGUACGGCCGCAAGGCUGAAACUUAAAGGAAUUGGCGGGGGAGCAC